GUGAUUCAGUGUUUGUUUUUACUGGUAUUGUUGGUUUUGGAAUAUUUUCUCUCCGUAAAUUCUUUUGCCAUCUUUUCUCUCUCUAGAUUGCAUUUGGCUUACGUGAUCAUAGCAUACUCGAAUAAGUCAUUUGUUUAAUCUUUUGUAGAGAAAAAUUAAAGAGAUAGAGAUGCUAGAAGAAUCAUCAAAAGAAUAGGAAGAGAGAGAAAAGAAGUUUAAAGUUAUUGCAGAAGAGUUAUCUUGAUUUAGAAUACGCCUCAAUCCUCAAUAUUAGGUUCUCUUUACGCCUCAUUAUUAGGCUCUCUUUCUAGAGUAGGAACAAGUUGUAUAGUUAUUUUCUCUCCUUAUAAUAUCAAGUUGUUGAUACAGUACAUACUUGAGCCCACGGUCAAGUAACAGAAAAUAAGGCAAAUAAUUCUUCUCUCUAUUUUCUAAUAAAAUUAAUAAUAAUAAUAAUUUGUAAAGACUGUCCAAAAAUUUUCUUCUACUCUAUGCAAGGUAGCUGAGCAUCUAAAUUUGCUUAUUGUUAUUUUUUUUUUUACUGAUCAUGGACGGCUGAAAAUCAAGCAGCUGGCAUCUUCUUUCUUCCAUCUUUUUGUUGCUGAAAAUUAGUGCAUAUUUUUUUUAUUAUUGAGUCUUAUUAU
Molecule: long non-coding RNA, 644 nt
Filed under: Amborella trichopoda
Lineage: Eukaryota; Viridiplantae; Streptophyta; Magnoliopsida; Amborellales; Amborellaceae
Description: long non-coding RNA (ATRI_LNC004271)
Source: RNAcentral